UGCCAGCCGCCGCGGUAAUACGAAGGGGGCUAGCGUUGUUCGGAAUUACUGGGCGUGAAGCGCACGUAGGAGGAUUUUUAAGUCAGAUGUGAAAUCCCGAGGCUCAACCCCGGAACUGCCUCUAAUACUGCUAGUCUUGAGUUCGAGAGAGGUGAGUGGAAUUCCGAGUGUAGAGGUGAAAUUCGUAGAUAUUCGGAGGAACACCAGUGGCGAAGGCGGCUCACUGGCUCGAUACUGACGCUGAGGUGCGACAGCGUGGGGAGCAAACAGGAUUAGAUA
RNAcentral lists this ribosomal RNA (279 nucleotides) under uncultured bacterium. RNAcentral describes it as "partial 16S ribosomal RNA". It matches the Rfam family "Bacterial small subunit ribosomal RNA", at positions 506 to 784 of the family's 1533-position model. The record is from RNAcentral.